GGUGGUUCUCGGGUGAUGCACCCCAGAUCAGGCUCCCCUCCUCUCUGGUUCUGGGUGUGUCCUGAGAACCACA
Non-coding RNA from Myotis davidii, 73 nucleotides. The record is from Rfam. Lineage: Eukaryota; Metazoa; Chordata; Mammalia; Chiroptera; Vespertilionidae.